Molecule: ribosomal RNA, 253 nt
Filed under: uncultured bacterium
Lineage: Bacteria
Description: partial 16S ribosomal RNA
Rfam family: Bacterial small subunit ribosomal RNA
Source: RNAcentral
UACGUAGGGGGCUAGCGUUGUCCGGAAUCAUUGGGCGUAAAGCGCACGUAGGCGGAUCUUUAAGUCAGGGGUGAAAUCCUGGAGCUCAACUCCAGAACUGCCUUUGAUACUGAGGGUCUUGAGUUCGGGAGAGGUGAGUGGAACUGCGAGUGUAGAGGUGAAAUUCGUAGAUAUUCGCAAGAACACCAGUGGCGAAGGCGGCUCACUGGCCCGAUACUGACGCUGAGGUGCGAAAGCGUGGGGAGCGAACAGG